CUCCGGGGAGGGAGCCUGAGAAACGGCUACCACAUCCAAGGAAGGCAGCAGGCGCGCAAAUUACCCACUCUCGGCACGAGGAGGUAGUGACGAAAAAUAACGAGAUGGAUCUCUUUGAGGCCCAUUAUCGGAAUGAGAACAAUUCAAAUCCUUUAACGAGGAUCUAGCGGAGGGCAAGUCUGGUGCCAGCAGCCGCGGUAAUUCCAGCUCCGCAGGUGUAUAUCUAUGCUGCUGCGGUUAAAAAGCUCGUAGUUGGAUCUGCGUGCUCGGAACUGGUUGGCUCACUGAGUUCAAACUGGUCUCCGGCGCUUUAUUUGCUGGUUUUCCCUUGAUGCUCUUAACCGGGUGUCUCGGGUGGCUAGCGUGUUUACUUUGAAAAAAUUAGAGUGCUCAAUACAGGCGCAAAGCCUUGAAUAGUGGUGCAUGGAAUAAUAGAAUAGGACCUCGGCUCCAUUUUGUUGGUUUUCGGAACACGAGGUAAUGAUUAAGAGGGACAGACGGGGGCAUUCGUAUUGCGACGUUAGAGGUGAAAUUCUUGGAUCGUCGCAAGACGGACGACUGCGAAAGCAUUUGCCAAGAAUGUUUUCAUUAAUCAAGAACGAAAGUUAGAGGUUCGAAGGCGAUCAGAUACCGCCCUAGUUCUAACCGUAAACGAUGCCAACUAGCGAUUCGCAGGCGUUAAACAACGACCUUGCGGGCAGCUUCCCGGAAACGAAAGUGUUCCGGUUCCGGGGGAAGUAUGGUUGCAAAGCUGAAACUUAAAGGAAUUGACGGAAGGGCACCACCAGGAGUGGAGCCUGCGGCUUAAUUUGACCCAACACGGGAAAACUCACCCGGCCCGGACACCGUAAGGAUUGACAGAUUGAGAGCUCUUUCUUGAUUCGGUGGGUGGUGGUGCAUGGCCGUUCUUAGUUGGUGGAGCGAUUUGUCUGGUUUAUUCCGAUAACGAACGAGACUCUGGCCUACUAAAUAGUGGGCGGAUUCUUUCUGUCCGCAACACUUCUUAGAGGGACAAGCGGUGUUCAGCCGCACGAGAUUGAGCAAUAACAGGUCUGUGAUGCCCUUAGAUGUCCGGGGCUGCACGCGCGCUACACUGAAGGAAUCAGCGUGCUUUCUGACCUUGCCCGAAAGGGCUGGGUAACCCGAUGAAAAUCCUUCGUGAUUGGGAUAGGGACUUGCAAUUAUUUCCCUUGAACGAGGAAUUCCCAGUAAGUGUGGGUCAUAAGCUCGCGUUGAUUACGUCCCUGCCCUUUGUACACACCGCCCGUCGCUGCCCGGGACUGAGCCGUUUCGAGAAGAACAGGGACCGUCGUUGAAGGGCCCUAACGGGCUUUUCUCUGAUAGAAACUGUUUUAAUCGCAGUGGCUUGAACCGGGCAAAAGUCGUAACAAGGUU
This 1395-nucleotide ribosomal RNA is filed under the name metagenome. Its description in RNAcentral is "SSU rRNA". It matches the Rfam family "Eukaryotic small subunit ribosomal RNA", at positions 381 to 1801 of the family's 1831-position model. The record is from RNAcentral.